Molecule: ribosomal RNA, 468 nt
Filed under: uncultured bacterium
Lineage: Bacteria
Description: partial 16S ribosomal RNA
Rfam family: Bacterial small subunit ribosomal RNA
Source: RNAcentral
GACGAACGCUGGCGGCGUGCUUAACACAUGCAAGUCGAACGGAAAGGCCCUGCUUUUGUGGGGUGCUCGAGUGGCGAACGGGUGAGUAACACGUGAGUAACCUGCCCUUGACUUUGGGAUAACUUCAGGAAACUGGGGCUAAUACCGGAUAGGAGCUCCUGCUGCAUGGUGGGGGUUGGAUAGUUUCGGCGGUUGGGGAUGGACUCGCGGCUUAUCAGCUUGUUGGUGGGGUAGUGGCUUACCAAGGCUUUGACGGGUAGCCGGCCUGAGAGGGUGACCGGCCAAAUUGGGACUGAGAUACGGCCCAGACUCCUACGGGAGGCAGCAGUGGGGAAUAUUGCACAAUGGGCGGAAGCCUGAUGCAGCAACGCCGCGUGCGGGAUGACGGCCUUCGGGUUGUAAACCGCUUUCGCCUGUGACGAAGCGUGAGUGACGGUAAUGGGUAAAGAAGCACCGGCUAACUACGUG